Long non-coding RNA from Aphis gossypii (cotton aphid), 2619 nucleotides. RefSeq lists it as uncharacterized. The record is from RefSeq and is a predicted model, not a curated record. The transcript is spliced from 4 exons. Lineage: Eukaryota; Metazoa; Arthropoda; Insecta; Hemiptera; Aphididae.
UAUGCAUUAAACAAUAAUAAUUAAAAUAUUAAAUGAAGUAGACAAUUAGUGUGACACAUCAUUGGAGAUUCAAUGCAGGAGCAGGACUAAAUAAUAGGUAUAGUUCAGUGGUUUUUUAUUUAUUUUAUGAAUUUUUUCAAGUUUUUCCGUUGUGUAUUCUUCUGUGUUAAAUAUUUCAAUUUUGACUUCUGUUUUUCUGCCUUAUUCAUUUCUCGUAUACGUAUGUACAUUCUUGUACGGACCAGGCAUUCUAUGACUUCAUUUGGUAUCAUUAUGCAUUUUUCAUUUACAUACUGAUUAAUUAUAGUGAUUAAUUUUUUGACGAUACCCCUUUCAUUAUCAAAUUCUUGCAUAAAAAUGGUUUCAAGGACUUUUAACACAUUCCAAAGAUCUUUUGAUGGACACGUAAGAUACCCUAAAAAUAAUAAACAGCAAAUUUGAUUUUUAACAACAUUUUUUUAGAUUACUGGAAUGCAGAAUACAAACUACAAAUAACCUUUUGAUAUAUGAGACAUCCAUGAUCCACUUUCAAUAUUUGUUUCAUUGUUAUUAUCCUCAAGGAAUGGAUAUUUAUUUUUAAAUUUUUUUGUUACAGAACCAGAUAUGUACAUCAAAUUACCUUCCUCGCAUGGAUCUUUUGCAGUGUAUAAUUCUUCAACAGUUGUCUAAAACCACAAUGGUUUCUUAAAGAUAAAUUUGAAAUCAGAAUUCCCUUUUGGAAUGUCAUAAGUUGUUUUUUUCCGUGUACUCUCAUUGUACUAAUAAAAUUAUCCAUCAAAUUUAAAAUAUGGUUCUGUUCAUCCAAAUUUAUUCCAUAUGCACUGGAAUUGUCCCCUAACAUUUGCUGAGAGUUAUGAAGAUCGAACCAGUUAUUUAUCAACAAAAUUGCUUCUGAACACUAAAUUUAAUAUAAACCAUUAUUAUAAUGUUAGUGCACCCGUGUCUCCAUAGUAUUGCAUUGCUUUAGCAACGGUCCUGGAAAGAAGUUGGGCCGCGGUUUUAACUUUUUGACGUUGAACUCCACUGACAUUUAAGUGAAACUCUGUCACUUUUAACCAUAUUAAAUCCAUGAUCAAUGAUGUUAUUUCUUAUCAAUUUCAAUAAAUGUGGUACAUCAGCAAAGACAUGGAUGUUUUUUCCAGUGUUUGGAUGUAAAAAACUACUAUUUGUAUGGGUAAUUUUCAAUGAAUUCCACAAAGAAAUGUUAGUAGUGCAACGUGCUCUGAUACUUAUAUUAAAUAUAAUAUAUAAAUUACUACAUACCAUAGCCAACAAUAACCUAACAUUGGGGGUGCAAUAGACAUUUUAUGAUAGGGGUGUAAAAUAUUACUAUAAUCGGAUUCUAAAGGUGAGCAGGAGAUUAAGUACAUUUUUCUUAAACAUAUUAAUAUAAAUCAUCAACGGCGGCGGAGCGGCGUAAUAAUGCCGAACGCAGCGACAAUAGUACAUUGUACCAAAUUAUACUAUGUGGCGGCAUCGUUCAGGGUCAAAGACGGAUCAUCGCACGUAUGCUUGUCACCCGGUAUAAAAUAUUAUAGGCACACAAUUACCAUCCGAUAGAAUAAUAGGAAUAUUGUUUGACGCACGACAUCGUUCAGAUAACGCAAAGCGUGGGAAGAAGCGGAUGCAGGUGCAGAUGACCAUCAGGGAUCUGAAGGUACCGCGGGAGUCCCUGGACGAUAUAUAAGGGGGCCCAGAUUAGGCACAAUUCAGACGUGAUCCACCAGAGUUAGCGCAAGCACCUUCACGUCACCCAGUUUAAUAUUUUAUGUCUCCUGGACUUAGAAUAUUUUUCACAAGUUUUAUUAAAUUAAAUAAUUGGACUUAGAAUAAUUUUAAAUAAAAAACACUUAGAAUAAUUUCGAGAGUUCAAUUAUUUCACAAAACCUUUUCCAAAUCGACAUCAUUCAACUGAUUGUACGUGGCACGUUACAAAUUUGGCGCAGUCGGUAGGAUUCUUUCAAAUAAGGAUUCUUUGGACGAACAAUUUUAAUUUUUUCGAACUUAGAAAAUUUUCGGAAAAAAAUAUUUUUUUUUUCCACUUCGAAAAUUUUUCGAAAAAAUUUAAAAUAUAUCCACUUCGAAGAAUUCACGGAGGCACAUUCGGCAACGAAUCACGGUUGAAGAAGACAACUGCAGAACGUCAACUUCAGCGACUCCGAAAGAGAAAGAAUCAACAAGUAACACCACGGCUCAGCAAUCAAGAAGAAUGGAAGCAUCAACUCAAACCAUCGUUGUGUAAGCAUAAUUUUUUUUUUCUUAAUGUAGACUAAUUUUAAGCGUCUAACUCUGUUCGCGUCUCCUUUGGAAUUAAAAACUCCAUCGUAUAAGUUACUUUUAAUUGUGAAGGUGUAUAUAUAUAUUCCCCGUGAAAAAUUAAAUAAAAUAUCUUGAUAAAAUUAAAUAAAUAAUUUAAAAAGGGAAAAAUUUAGAAUAAGCAAAAAUAAAAAUAAUAAAAAAAACGCAACGAUUAAAUAAAUUUAAUAUUUUAAUAAUACACUUAGAUUAUUUUUACGCAUAAAAUUUUUAUUCAAUAAUAAAAUAAUACAACUUUAUUUUAGUUAUAAAAUAUAUAAAUAUUUCAAAUAUAAAUAAUUUUUCGAGGAACAAAUAAAUAAA